This is a non-coding RNA of Camellia sinensis, 494 nucleotides long. The record is from RefSeq and is a predicted model, not a curated record. NCBI's taxonomy places the organism in Eukaryota, Viridiplantae, Streptophyta, Magnoliopsida, Ericales, Theaceae.
CUCUCCCUCUCUCUCAGUUGCAUUCUCAUGCUUUUGUUGUCAUGUUCUUGUUCUCAUGAUCAAUCGAUUGAUCUUUCACUCUCACCCUCACUCUAUCUCAAACAAUCAGAUGAGGAUAGAGAUAUGGGAAUCCACUCUCCCGUCCUGAUCUUCUUCACUCACAUCCCAGACAAUCUUGAUGCGUCGAACUCGCUUAAAAGAUUAGCAUCUCGGUCUUCUUGGACGAUUAGAAGUGCUUGCUAGUGAAAGGAUGGAAGGGAACAAGCUGGAGUUUUCCCCGUGGGAAAAAGAACAAAGAUGAGGAAGACCAUGCAUGUGCUGUUAGAGAAGUCCUUGAGGGAACAGGUUUUGAUGUUUCAAAAUUCCUAAACAAAGAUGACGAUAUUGAGAUGAUAUUUGGACAGCAGAGGGUGCGGCUCUACAUAAUUGCUGGUGUGAAAGACGAUACCGCCUUUGCCCCACUUAUCAAAAAAGAGAUCAGUGUAUGUUGCCUC